This 125-nucleotide small RNA is filed under the name Marmota monax (woodchuck). Lineage: Eukaryota; Metazoa; Chordata; Mammalia; Rodentia; Sciuridae. The record is from RNAcentral.
GCCGGGUGUGGUGGCGCACGCCUGUAAUCCCAGCGACUCGGGAGGCAGAGGCAGGAGGAUCGAAAAUUCAAAGCCAGCCUUAGAAAUGGCAAGGCGCUAAACAACUCAGCGAGACCCUGUCUCCA